Long non-coding RNA from Hirundo rustica (Barn swallow), 377 nucleotides. RefSeq lists it as uncharacterized. The record is from RefSeq and is a predicted model, not a curated record. The transcript is spliced from 3 exons. NCBI's taxonomy places the organism in Eukaryota, Metazoa, Chordata, Aves, Passeriformes, Hirundinidae.
ACCGGCAGCGCGCGCCCCUCUCGGCUGCCGCCAUCUUGGUGCCGUUACCGGCCGCCGCUUCCAUCCGCCGCCAUCCGCCUCCAUCCGCCGCCCCCCGCCCGCCGGGACUGAGCGGGGCUCCGCCGAACCGCCAUGAGAGCCAAGUGGCGCAAGAAGCGAAUGCGCAGGCUGAAGCGCAAGAGGAGGAAGAUGAGGCAGAGGUCCAAGUAACCGCCCGCGGCGGGGACACGGCCCGGUGACGCUCCGGUGAUGCUCCGGUGCCGUCCCGGUGGUGUCCGGUGCCGUCCCGGUGCCGCGGGGGGGUCCCGCCGUGCCGGACCGGUUCUUUGCUUUGCGGCGGUCGCCGUGCCGUGAAUAAAAGUUGGUUGUUGCUUACA